ACGCUAUGUUAUCUAAUACAUUUUCGGAAAACAUCAUGUAACAUUAUCAUAAUUUAGAAGAUUAUAGCCUAUGCAGGCUAAAUGUUAAAAUUUUCAGUUUUUAUAUAUCAUUAUAAAAACGGACACUUAAUAACGAAAAGUAUAUUAAAGAUAGCCUAUUGUAUUUUCCCCCUAAAUUGACGAUGCAUUACCGCAAAAUACUCUUGGAAAAUACAUGUUGUUAUUUGACAGACUUUUUUGUGGUGAAUUUUUGAACUUGAGAACGCACACUGUAGAGCCGGGGUAUUCAAUCCUAUUCGAAAAGGGCCGAUGUUGUUGUAGCUUUUUGUUCUUCACCAGAAGUAAGACAUCUGUUUCCACUUACCGAGUUCGAAGACCAUGAUUAGGUAAUUAAUUGAAUCGCAUGUCGUAGUGCUGGGCUAAAACAAAACAUAUGCACCCACGUCGGUCUUUUUCAGAUAAGAUUGGGCAGCCAUGCUAUGGAACAAGUUGGCCUAUAGCUGUGGAUUCCUGCACAUCCAUUACUUUUAAAUUCGUGUAGCAUCAAAAUGCUGACCUGGGAUCUACAUGAGGAUUUUACAUCUUUAUUUUGGAGACAAUUUUUCUUAAUAUGGUGAUUUACAUUUUGACCAAUUAGCGGUGCGUCAGGAAGUGAACUUACUGGCUGAACGGCCACUCUCCUGGAUAAAUGGAUAAACCUGGAUUUGGACCAGUCACCAGCUCUUUUUUUGCACUGACAAAUCACAGCCCGUUCUCUCCCUGUCCUCAUCAGGCUUCAUGCUGGAGGCUGAGGAGAGCCAUUGGUAACGGGGCGCGGGGCCCGAGGCCAGAGGGUGCGGUGAGUCACAGGAUAAAUCGGACUCGACCUCUCUGUGAAACGCUUCCUCCCUCCGUCUCUGCAUGUCAGAGAACGCUCCCUUCUCCAUCCCCGUGAAACGGCUGGACAUCAGCCCGCAAUUCUCAGCCGCUCUCCUCUGCAGCGCAGUCUGGGUUGUGUCCUUUUCCUGAUGAACCCUUUGAAGAGUAGGCUUUUUGGAAGGUUUUUUUUUUUUCUUUCAAAAUUCCAAGUUAGUGUUCUAGAAUGCGAUUGCUUUAGUGACUGCAAUUAGUGACUGUUGCAUCAGCAUUAGAAUGUUCGGUUAAGGACGUUCUAAUCACGUAUUUGUGACAUUAAAGGGUUAAUCAGGAAAUGACACUA
This is a long non-coding RNA of Anguilla rostrata (American eel), 1198 nucleotides long. RefSeq lists it as uncharacterized. The transcript has 4 exons. NCBI's taxonomy places the organism in Eukaryota, Metazoa, Chordata, Actinopteri, Anguilliformes, Anguillidae. The record is from RefSeq and is a predicted model, not a curated record.